Molecule: ribosomal RNA, 872 nt
Filed under: uncultured bacterium
Lineage: Bacteria
Description: bacterial SSU rRNA
Rfam family: Bacterial small subunit ribosomal RNA
Source: RNAcentral
UGCAGUUGAGCGACGAACCAGGGCUUGCCCUGGGGCAAAGCAGCGAACGGGUGAGUAACACGUGGGUAACCUGCCCCGAUGACCGGGACAACCCGAGGAAACUCGGGCUAAUACCGGAUGUGCUCGCCGGACUCAAGUCCGGCGCGUAAAGGUAGCUUCGGCUUCCGCUUCGGGAGGGGCCCGCGGCCCAUUAGCUAGUUGGUGAGGUAACGGCUCACCAAGGCAGCGAUGGGUAGCUGGUCUGAGAGGACGAUCAGCCACACUGGGACUGAGACACGGCCCAGACUCCUACGGGAGGCAGCAGUGGGGAAUCUUGCGCAAUGCGCGAAAGCGUGACGCAGCAACGCCGCGUGGGGGAAGAAGGCCUUCGGGUUGUAAACCCCUUUCAGGAGGGACGAAGGCACGGCGGUUAAUAGCCGUCCGUGCUGACGGUACCUCCAGAAGAAGCCCCGGCUAACUACGUGCCAGCAGCCGCGGUAAUACGUAGGGGGCAAGCGUUGUCCGGAAUCAUUGGGCGUAAAGCGCGCGUAGGCGGCCCGGUAAGUCCGCUCUGAAAGUCCAGGGCUCAACCCUGGAAAGCGGGUGGAUACUGCCGGGCUAGAGUCCGGAAGANGCGAGUGGAAUUCCUGGUGUAGCGGUGGAAUGCGCAGAUAUCNNAGGAACACCGAUAGCGAAAGGCAGCUCGCUGGGACGGUACUGACGCUAAGCGCGAAAGCGUGGGGAGCGAACAGGAUUAGAUACCCUGGUAGUCCACGCCGUAAACGAUGGGCACUAGUGUGGGAGGUGUCGACUCCUCCCGUGCCGCCGCUAACGCAUUAAGUGCCACGCCUGGGGGAGUACGGCNGCAAGGCUAAAACUCAAAGGANUGACGG